AUGCCAUUCUGCAAUUACGAUAAAUUUGGAUACCUCAACACUUGGUGCAAGUCAAUCCAAUCUUCUGAUCAAAUUAUCACCAUAAUUGUUUUUUCCUUUUAUAAUAGUCAUUCGAUUUUAAGUGGUCAUGGUCAUCUGAGUGUGGCGAAGGGGAGCCUUGGCGCAGUGGUAAAGCUGCUGCCUUGUGACCAUGAGGUCAUGGGUUCAAGUCCUGGAAACAGCCUCUUACAGAAAUGUAGGGAAAGGCUGCGUACUAUAGACCCAAAGUGGUCGGACCCUUCCCUGGACCCUGCGCAAGCGGGAGCUACAUGCACCAGGUUGCCCUUUAUGGUCAUCUGA
This 339-nucleotide ribosomal RNA is filed under the name Triticum aestivum (bread wheat). Its description in RNAcentral is "partial small subunit ribosomal RNA". The record is from RNAcentral. Lineage: Eukaryota; Viridiplantae; Streptophyta; Magnoliopsida; Poales; Poaceae.